This 253-nucleotide ribosomal RNA is filed under the name uncultured bacterium. RNAcentral's name for it is "partial 16S ribosomal RNA". It matches the Rfam family "Bacterial small subunit ribosomal RNA", at positions 524 to 776 of the family's 1533-position model. The record is from RNAcentral. RNAcentral also lists the same sequence under 1 other name.
UACGUAGGGCGCAAGCGUUAUCCGGAAUUAUUGGGCGUAAAGAGCUCGGAGGCGGUUUGUCGCGUCUGCCGUGAAAGUCCGGGGCUCAACUCCGGAUCUGCGGUGGGUACGGGCAGACUAGAGUGAUGUAGGGGAGACUGGAAUUCCUGGUGUAGCGGUGAAAUGCGCAGAUAUCAGGAGGAACACCGAUGGCGAAGGCAGGUCUCUGGGCAUUAACUGACGCUGAGGAGCGAAAGCAUGGGGAGCGAACAGG